Small RNA from Ruegeria sp. ANG-S4, 71 nucleotides. It matches the Rfam family "Singlet oxygen resistance RNA X". Rfam says of the family: SorX (RSs2461)like SorY is a singlet oxygen induced sRNA that counteracts oxidative stress by targeting mRNA for a transporter in Rhodobacter. The record is from Rfam. NCBI's taxonomy places the organism in Bacteria, Pseudomonadati, Pseudomonadota, Alphaproteobacteria, Rhodobacterales, Roseobacteraceae.
AACCCGCGCAUGUCCGGGUAACGGCAUGCACCUCCCUGUUGGACUGCCGGGCCGUAUGGCCCGGCUUUUUU